This 195-nucleotide ribosomal RNA is filed under the name Steinernema affine. RNAcentral's name for it is "partial 18S ribosomal RNA". It matches the Rfam family "Eukaryotic small subunit ribosomal RNA". The record is from RNAcentral. Lineage: Eukaryota; Metazoa; Nematoda; Chromadorea; Rhabditida; Steinernematidae.
UUGHUUACGUCCCUGCCCUUUGUACACACCGCCCGUCGCUGCCCGGGACUGAGUUGUUUCGAGAAAUGCGGAGACUGCUACUUUGAAAUUUUUCGGAUGCUCAUUUGUUGGCGGAAACCGCCUUAAUCGAAAUGGCUUGAACCGGGCAAAAGUCGCAACAAGGUUUCCGUAGUGAACCUGCGGAAGGAUCAUUAU